GUUGCAACACAUGUUUCCGUACGUUCACCGAAGUUAAGCAACGUCGAACCUGGUCAGUACCUAGAUAGGGAACCGCUUAGGAAUACUCGGUGCUGUAAG
Acanthosepion pharaonis is the source of this 99-nucleotide non-coding RNA. The record is from the annotation of a GenBank genome assembly. Lineage: Eukaryota; Metazoa; Mollusca; Cephalopoda; Sepiida; Sepiidae.